RNAcentral lists this long non-coding RNA (462 nucleotides) under Lathyrus oleraceus (garden pea). RNAcentral's name for it is "Pisum sativum (pea) long non-coding RNA (PSAT_LNC008405)". Lineage: Eukaryota; Viridiplantae; Streptophyta; Magnoliopsida; Fabales; Fabaceae. The record is from RNAcentral.
GAAGAAAAAGAAGAAGAAGUGGAAGAGGUAGAAGAAGAGGUGGAAGAGGUAGAGGUAGAUGGAAAUGACGAGGAUGAGGAUUUCAAUUAUGAUGAUGACGAAUUUAUACCUGAGGAAGAAGAUUACACGGACGAAGAGGAAGAAGAAAGAAGUGGGCGGAAGAAGAAAAAGGAGGAUUUUAGUUAUGAAGAUGAAGAAUUUAUACCGAUGGAAGAAGAAAGAAGGGGCAGGAAGAAGAAAAAGGAGGAUUUCAAUUAUGAAGACGAGGAAUUUAUACCGACUGAAGAAGAUUACACAGAUGAGGAGGAAGAAGAAACGAGGGGUAUAACGAAGAAAAACAAUGGCAUUCAAAUGGGAAAGAAGAAGACUUUGAAGAAAAGGGUUUCUGCAACUUCUAGCAGAGGUCGAAAAAGGAGUCGCUCUAGAGUUUCAAAGAAGACCAAGAGAAAGAGAAGAGGAAAG